Molecule: long non-coding RNA, 5395 nt
Filed under: Canis lupus familiaris (dog)
Lineage: Eukaryota; Metazoa; Chordata; Mammalia; Carnivora; Canidae
Description: lncRNA (ENSCAFG00000050218.1)
Source: RNAcentral
UGGUAUGUUUUAGCUUUGUUUGGAUUUGCUGUCAAACCCUAAAAACAUUAGCAAAUGGUACCCGCGCUUUUAAAUCAUAAAAAGAAACCUAGAUUUGUUUGCAGUUUUUUUAAUCUGUUGUUAAUAAACUUGAAAGAACACAGCCCUGUCUAAUAAACACAUCAAACUAAUGGGUACCAGCGCAGUUCAGAAGAGUGUUUGUUGUUUGGUGUUUAGAUUUCAGUCAGAAUUAAUCAACAAUGGAUGGGGCCUGCUGUAUUUAUUAGCAGCUCAAAUCCCUGUGAUUUAAUGCCAGGUCCCUUUGACUCAUUCCAGUGAACGCUGGCAAGGUUACAGCACUGAUACAUACUUACAUCCUCGGGUCUUAAAAAGAAAGAGAAAAAUAGAGCCUAAAAUCAGACCACAGGAUUGGCAAGAAUUUCCCGAGAGCCAUUUUGAAUUUAGCCCUAUACAGAGAGCCUGUGAAUAGGAAGCAAUUGAUUCAGGAACAGAGGAGCCUUUUUUGCUGGAAGAAGCCUUCAGCUGUGCAGAUGGCUCGCUGGCAUAAUCCAGUCUGCCUUUGUCUUUCAUUUUAUAUAUUAGGCUACUUUCUUCUCACACUCUAUAUUGCUUUUAUUUUCUCCUUUUACUCCAAGCCUCCAAAUUUUGGGGGCAAGGAGAAGUUGCAGGGGUUUGGCGAGGGCGGCUGCACUCUAUAUGCACUAUCUCCCACAGAUUAUGAGUCGCUGGUACAUUGCUGGAAAUGCUGCUUGCUUGUCACAGUCACCGCUAGGCUGUUCUUUGUACAAAAGUGUCAACUUUUGAAUGAAGCCUCUGGAAACAGAUGUAAAGAUUAAUCUUGAGAAUGCAUUUUUCUGAGGCUCCAAAAACGUGCCUUACUUGUGCAAUAGCCCCGGUCCUUGACAUUUAUUUUUUUCAAAGUGAUCUCAUUUCUCAAUUACAAAGACUGACAUUCUUUGCUGUUCAUGUUCAGAAAAUUCCACAGCCUUUACCCAUUCUUUCUGCUUCCCAUGUCUGGGGGCUGCCUUUCGAGAGCAAAUUAUUUGUGGAAAGAUGUUAUUUAUCUGGAAACUCUUCAGUGAAAAGUUGAUGGAGUCAUUUUUACUCCAGGGACCAUCUAUCUCCCUUCCAAGAUAAGAUUUGCCCGGGCUCCCCUCCUACACCUUCCUAUGGGAAGAUAGCCCACUUUGGGCCUGAUAAGUAGUUUCACGUUGAAUGCCUUGUGGCUGUCUCACAGAUCCUUUCACAUCCUUCCCAGAUUUUUCUUUCUUGCUCUAGGUCAUAUUGUCUUUUUUUCUCUCAUUUGGAGGCAAAUUUUGAAGAACAAACAUACGCCAAAAUGGGCAUUUGUUCAAGUAUUUCCAUGUUAAAUAUUAGGCUAUAUCUCAAAAUGUUCUGAAGCAAAUCUGAAUUUAAAAAAGAAAGAAACACUGAGAAUGUUAAUCACAUACCUCUGUUUUUCUUCUGGAGCUCUUUGGUCCAAUGACAUGUUUCCUUUCAGCAAAUAGGCUUUGUGGGAAUGAUGUGGGCUAUCUUUUUUUUUUUUUAAUUUUAUUUUUUAUUUUUUUUAAUUGUAAAUGUUCCACACACAGAGAAUAAAUACCACAGACUCCACCACUUUGGAAUGACUUGAUUGUGAGUCAAUGUCCUUGUUUUCCCUCCUCAAAAAUUGUCUUUUCCAUUUAUAUGGGAAACACAUGUACAUAGUUCCUCCUUUCUUAUCGUUAAACAAUGUGUGUAAUGCAUUUCAGCUGGGGAUUAAAAAGAUCUGGUUCUUUAAACAUUUGUAUACGAUCGGCAAAUGUCCUAACAUAUAGACCUUUUUUCACUGUUGUAAUCAUUGCCUAUAUACUCAGCACUUUCUUUUGUGAGGCACAUUUAUUUUGGUACUGACAUACUUAAUUUUCUUAUGGUACCUCUUUUAGGUUGUGUAUCUCAAGGGCAUUGCUUAUAAAGAGGAACUUGACUCUCAAGUGAAAAUGUUUAAGUUUAAAGACCGAAUGCAGAUUUUUGGCUAAAGAUGGCAGAAGAAAUGUGUUUGCAUCCCAGUUUAUUCCUUGAAGUAAUAAAAAAUAACAAUGGUGUAAAACAAAUAAGAAAGGCCAUCCUCAAUGAAACCGGGCACAUGCAAGCCAUGCCAGCAAAGUGUAGGUGCCAGAAACAGUGACGUUGGGACCAAGCUGAGAUGACCUCAGUCUGCUGGCACAUAUAUCUCUGAUUCCUGGUAAUGACCAGAGAGCGCUUUACAAGUUGGGUGCCCUGUCCUGAAAGGCCCCAACCAAGGAUCUUUCUCUGGAAUGACAAGAGUCUGAGGGUUUGGAUUUGCUACAGGAAGUUAUUGAAUUCAGGUUUAUGUAGCCAAGGAGGAGCAGGGUCAGGGUGUAAACAGAAUUACUCAGAUAUCUCUUUUUAUCACAAAAGGCUGACCACUGGGAAGAGGGAAGAUGUUAGAAGGCAAAUAGAUUUGUUAGGGAAUCACAGGCUGCUGGAGACUUACAUAGUAUGUUGGAGCCAGCUCAUGGUCUACCGUCUAGAGCUGAUUUGUAAAUUUUUGAUCAAAAAGUUGAUCAUUAAACACAGUCAUUCAAAAUUAAAUUAUAAAAUUACAAUAAUGUUAAAAACAAAGGUAAUAAGUACUCGAAACUCAACACUCCAUAUUUCCGUAUUUUAUUAUUACCUAAUGUUCUUGAGGCAUUUACAUCGAUUGUAUUUGAUUGGUGAAAAUGUUAUAUUAAAGUGCCCUUCUGUGCAUUUCCUCCCAACCCUGUGAUCAGUGAUGUCACAUUGGUAGUUUGAAAUUAGCCAUGGUGGAAAUAUUAUACUAUGAAAAUCUGCAAAUGCUGUAGAUCAGCACUUCGCUUAUUGCUUAUUAUUUGGACUUAGAGUGAUAGAGAAAACAUUAAUGCUUAUUAAAACGAACAAUGUCACAUCCGCAGCACAAAAAGUUGAGGAGGUAUCCUUUUAGUGUUUGAAUUUAUAAUUUGGUUCAGUGAGUAAGCUGCUCAAGUCACCAAUGAAAGUAUGAUGUUCCCACAUGUGUGUCUUUGCUGUUUCACUUUCAUCUUACUUAUUAGCUAACUGGAAAUAUCAUCCAGCGUUUGCGUCAGAACCACAUUUGCUUGUCAGUCGCAAUCAUAGGCUGGGUACGAAUUUGGUAAAACUCAAUAAAGCAUUCUGGGAGAAUCAAUCGGCUGUACAGACUUUACAAUUGUCUUUUGUGAUUAUUUUGUAAAUUGUGUGCUAUCCAUCCUUUAUAUCAGUAAAGCAGUAAACUUAUUAUGUACAUGUAAAAUGCAAAUAUGUAAAAACAUAUGUGCAUGUAAAAAUGCACUGUUUUUAGGAUAGUCUGUGAAGGAGUUAUACACACCUACAGGUGCUUUGCGAUGCUCCAGCAAGAUAGCCUUCUCACUCUUUGUUGGGCACGGGAACAGAAAAAAUGGAGGUUUAGUAACUUGAAUGCAGGGACCAUUUUUUCUAAAGUGGAAGUUUGGUGUAUUGAUUUUAGAUCUUUCUACUGUUCUUCAGCCUCUCUAUAAGCACUGUUUUCACUGUAUCCCACAACUUUUACUAUGUUGUAUUUUCAUUUUUAUUUAGUUUAAAACAUUUUUCAACUUCUCUUGAGAUUUCUUCUUUGAUUCAUGUUGUUUAGAAAUGUGUUGUUUAAUCUCCAAGUAUUUUUUAAUUCUCUGGCUACUUUUAUGUUGAAUGUUUAUUUUUAGUCCAAGACAUAAUCAGUCUGGAUUCUUUCCUCCAUUUUCUCCAUGUACCUUUGAAUGGAGAGCAGGGUGUUGUCAUAAAUUUUUCCAGUAUCUUCUGGAUGAAUCCUUUUAAAUGACCCAUGAGUACCUCAUAGUUAACAAGCUUCAAUCAACUUCUUUUCUUCUAUCCCAAACAGUUCUACUUCUAUGAUGCUCAAUAUACCUUACUGGUAAUUCUGCACCCACCCUUUCUGCAAGUCAGAAACCUGGAGAUCUUCCUAGAUUUUUAGUUUCUCAGCCUUACAUAUGUAGUUGGAAAUCAAGAUUUACCAGUUAUACAUUUGAAGCCUUUUUUCUGUUCCCUUCUCACAAUUCCCAUUUUCAUUAAGUUCAAAUCCUCAUCUCUAACUUGAACUUCUGGAAUAGUUUCUUAAUUCAUCUUCCUGCUUUUAGUUUUAUUUCUCCCAUCUACCUUGCAUCACUUUGCCAGAGUUAUUACAUAUAUAUGUAAUUACACAUUAAUUGUAACCUUAUAACAUUAGUAUUAGAUAUAGAUAACAAAUAUGCAUUCAUUAUAUUUUGAUUUGUUUAAAAUUAUUUUUAUUUAAAAUUCUUCAGGACACCUGGGUGGCUCAGUGGUUGAGUGUCUGCCUUUGGCUUGGGUCAUGAUCCCGGGGGUCCUGGGAUCUAGUCCUGCAUUGGGCUCCCUGCUGUGAACCUGAUUCUCCCUCUGCCUAUGUCCCUGCUUCUCUCUGUGUGUCUCUCAUGAAUAAAUAAAUAAAAUCUUAAAAAAAAAUUCUACAAUAGCUUAAGAUUCUUCCUAAUGCCUAGAGAAUAAAGUAUAAAUCCCUUUAUAGAGCAUAUUUAAUUAUUUUAAUUUGACCUUUGACCCUUGACCCUUUAUUGGUUCUUGCCUUCAUUCUUAGAAAUUUGGUUACUGUUCUGUAAGAAAAGGGCAAGCAUACUUGUAGCUGCUCCUCAGAGGUCACCUUCCUGUGAGGUCUCUUGGAAAUAUUUUUUUCCCCUCCUCCAUUUAAAUGCUCCUCCUUUGUUUGUCCACAGGUCCUUUCCUUACUCUUUCAAUGCCUCGCCCAUUUUGUUUCAGGUAACUGUUUACAGGUAGACUCUCCAGCUGUGAGCAUCUUAACUGUAAGGACUGUAUUUUGUUCAUCUUUCUUUACUCUUUUAGCCCAGAGCCUUGCCUGUUGUGCAUUCCCAGCAAACGUUUGUUGAAUGAGGUUGAAUGUGCAGAGCUUUGUAAGAUUAUGGUGAAGGCCUGGUUGUAGCUUCAUUAAACCUGAGCCAUUCAGACCACCAAAGGAGCUUUGUCUGAAGGGAGAGUGGCACCAAUUAGUGUAGAUUGUUGCAAGUAGAAUGGAAAUAAGCUAGAGAAAAGCUCCAGUCUCAUUGAGGUCCUGGGGGAACAUACUUGAUGCCUUUGAGUGAAUAUGGCUUAAAACUUGAUUCAUAUGAAUUUUUAUUGUAAUUUUCAGUGAUCUUUCCUAGAGCUAUAAACACUUAGAUAUUGUUAGUCAGAUCCUUAUUCCAAAAAAGAACGCCAAUUUGUAUUUUAGUUGUCUGGAAUUGUAGUCCCUCUUUAUUUCAGUCUUUUUUGUGCUUUUUGAUCUUCCAGUUAGCUGGAUCUCAAAAUAUCAAUGAAAUCUUUCCCUGGCAAAAAAAAAAAAAAAAAAAAAAAA